UAAUUUGUAUUAUGCAUGUAGCUAA
RNAcentral lists this non-coding RNA (25 nucleotides) under Rattus norvegicus (Norway rat). The record is from RNAcentral. Lineage: Eukaryota; Metazoa; Chordata; Mammalia; Rodentia; Muridae.